RNAcentral lists this ribosomal RNA (523 nucleotides) under Clostridium botulinum C. Its description in RNAcentral is "partial 23S ribosomal RNA". It matches the Rfam family "Bacterial large subunit ribosomal RNA", at positions 943 to 1466 of the family's 2925-position model. The record is from RNAcentral. Lineage: Bacteria; Bacillati; Bacillota; Clostridia; Eubacteriales; Clostridiaceae.
ACCCUAUCAAACUCCGAAUGCCAUAUACUUGUACCCCGGCAGUCAGACUACGAAUGAUAAGAUCCGUGGUCAAAAGGGAAACAGCCCAGACCAUCAGCUAAGGUCCCAAAGUGUAAGUUAAGUGGGAAAGGAUGUGGGAUUUCUAAGACAACUAGGAUGUUGGCUUAGAAGCAGCCACUCAUUUAAAGAGUGCGUAAUAGCUCACUAGUCGAGAGAUCCUGCGCCGAAGAUGUAACGGGGCUCAAACUUACCACCGAAGCUAUGGAUGUGUACUUUGUACACGUGGUAGAGGAGCUUUCUGUACAGGUUGAAGUCAUACCGUAAGGAGUGGUGGACAGUACAGAAGUGAGAAUGCUGGCAUAAGUAGCGAAAAACAAGUGAGAAUCUUGUUGACCGAAUAUCUAAGGGUUCCUGGGGAAGGCUCGUCCUCCCAGGGUUAGUCGGGACCUAAGCCGAGGCCGAAAGGCGUAGGUGAUGGACAACUGGUUGAUAUUCCAGUACCACCAUAAUGCGUUUGACAAAU